GAUGAAGAACGCAGCGAAAUGCGAUAAGUAAUGUGAAUUGCAGAAUUCAGUGAAUCAUCGAAUCUUUGAACGCACAUUGCGCCCGCCAGUAUUCUGGCGGGCAUGCCUGUUCGAGCGUCAUUUCAACCCUCAAGCCCCCGGGCUUGGUGUUGGGGAUCGGCGUGCCCUCGCGGCGCGCCGUCCCCUAAAUCUAGUGGCGGUCUCGCUGUAGCUUCCUCUGUGUAGUAGCAACACUCGCACUGGAUCGCAGCGCGGCCACGCCGUUAAACCCCCCACUUCUGAAAGUUUGACCUCGGAUCAGGUAGGAAUACCCGCUGAACUUAAGCAUAUCAAUAAGCGGAGGA
Molecule: unclassified non-coding RNA, 344 nt
Filed under: soil metagenome
Description: partial contains 5.8S ribosomal RNA, internal transcribed spacer 2, and large subunit ribosomal RNA
Rfam family: 5.8S ribosomal RNA (bases 1-120)
Source: RNAcentral